UUUGACUCAACACGGGAAAACUCACCCGGCCCGGACACUGUAAGGAUUGACAGAUUGAGAGCUCUUUCUUGAUUCGGUGGUUGGUGGUGCAUGGCCGUUCUUAGUUGGUGGAGUGAUUUGUCUGGUCAAUUCUGAUAACGAACGAGACUCUAGCCUGCUAAAUAGUGCGCCGAUCGGUUCUGCCGGUCGAGCGGUUACUUCUUAGAGGGACAAGGGCCUCUAAGGCCCACGAGAAUGAGCAAUAACAGGUCUGUGAUGCCCUUAGAUGUCCGGGGCCGCACGCGCGCUACACUGAGGGGAUCAAUGUGUGUAUGUCCUGACCCGUUAGGGUUGGGUAACCCGUUGAACCUCCCUCGUGCUUGGGAUCGGGGCUUGAAAUUCUUCCCCGUCAACGAG
Molecule: ribosomal RNA, 396 nt
Filed under: Capitella capitata
Lineage: Eukaryota; Metazoa; Annelida; Polychaeta; Capitellidae
Description: SSU rRNA
Rfam family: Eukaryotic small subunit ribosomal RNA
Source: RNAcentral